RNAcentral lists this ribosomal RNA (482 nucleotides) under uncultured bacterium. Its description in RNAcentral is "partial 16S ribosomal RNA". It matches the Rfam family "Bacterial small subunit ribosomal RNA", at positions 28 to 523 of the family's 1533-position model. The record is from RNAcentral.
GACGAACGCUGGAGGCGUGCUUAACACAUGCAAGUCGAACGAUGAAAUGGAGCUUGCUCCAUGGAUUAGUGGCGAACGGGUGAGUAACACGUGAAUAACCUGCCCUUAAUUUUGGAAUAACCCAGGGAAACCUGGGCUAAUACCGGAUAAGUAAACCUGUGGCAUCACAUGGUUUUGGAAAGUUUUUCGAUUAAGGAUGGAUUCGCGGACUAGUAGCUUGUUGGUGAGGUUAUGGCUCACCAAGGCGACGACGGGUAGCCGGCCUGAGAGGGUGAACGGCCACACUGGGACUGAGACACGGACCAGACUCCUACGGGAGGCAGCAGUGGGGAAUAUUGCGCAAUGGACGAAAGUCUGACGCAGCGACGCCUCGUGAGGGACGAAGGUCUUCGGAUUGUAAACCUCUUUCAGCAGGGACGAAGCGAAAGUGACGGUACCUGCAGAAGAAGCACCGGCUAACUAUGUGCCAGCCGCCGCCGUAA